AUGUUGCUUUGGUUUAGUUUUGCAAGAGGCUCAGCCUGGUGGGAACAAGUCUUGUUUUGCGUCCCCAUCUCCAUCUCCACUCCCACCUUCAUUCCCAAUCCCACUUCCAUCUCCAACCUUAACCCUGAUCCCAUCUCCAAUCUCAAUCUCAACCCCAAUCCCAUUUCCAACCCCAAUCCUGACCCCAUCUCCGUCCCUGUCCCUAUCUCCAACCUCCAUCUCCAGUUUCCAGCCCCAUCUCCACCCCUGUCCCUAUCUCCAACCUCCAGUCCCGUUCUCAUCUCCAAUCCCUGUCCCCACCUCCAACUCCAACCCCAACCCUGUCUCCAUCUCUGUCUCCAUCAUCUCCAAAUCCAAUCCCCAGUCUCCAAUCCCCAUCUCCAAUCCCCAUCUCUAUCACUGACCCCAACCCCACCACCAUCACCAAACCCAACCCCACCCCUGUCCCCAUCCCCAGCCCCCUCCCUGCCCCAUCCUCAUCCCCAUCCCAAGCUGGGGGUCCCACUGGGUGCCCCCAUUCCACUGGACACUCACACCUUCUCCUUUUCCCAAACUCUCCCAACCAACCAAAGCCAUCACCAAACCUCUGCCUUCCCCAGCACUGAGCAGAGCCCCAUUGGGAUUAUUCGAAAGCGGCGUGGCCGUGCACUCCCCACCCUGCUGGGCCAGCCGGCGCCUGCAGCCAGCCCCCCCGCGCCGGCGCUUCCCUCCAGCUCUAUUUUAAGAGCAUUUCCAACCAGCGCUGCCAAAGCCCCGUCCCGAAACAGCCCAUGGGGAGGAUGCUGGGGGCAAGCGGGGCCCGUAGCGCUCACACGUUUUUUUUAUUACUCCUAUUUUUUCGUGCACAAGCCCCUGUUUCCUUCCUUUCCCUUCAAAGAAACCUCACUGCUACCCUCAGCCAGAGUGCAGCAGCAGGAUGUGGGCAGAGAUAAGGGCCAUGCGGGUGAUGCUCACUGGACCGCAGGGAGCCACAACUGGGCCAGGGAAGCAGCAGUGCUAUGUAAACACCCCCUGCCUUGA
This 1020-nucleotide long non-coding RNA is filed under the name Chrysolophus pictus (golden pheasant). Its description in RNAcentral is "lncRNA (ENSCPIG00010014051.1)". The record is from RNAcentral. Lineage: Eukaryota; Metazoa; Chordata; Aves; Galliformes; Phasianidae.